UACGUAGGGUGCAAGCGUUGUCCGGAAUUAUUGGGCGUAAAGAGCUCGUAGGCGGUUUGUCGCGUCUGCUGUGAAAACCCGAGGCUCAACCUCGGGCCUGCAGUGGGUACGGGCAGACUAGAGUGCGGUAGGGGAGAUUGGAAUUCCUGGUGUAGCGGUGGAAUGCGCAGAUAUCAGGAGAAACACCGAUGGCGAAGGCAGAUCUCUGGGCCGUAACUGACGCUGAGGAGCGAAAGCGUGGGGAGCGAACAGG
RNAcentral lists this ribosomal RNA (253 nucleotides) under uncultured bacterium. RNAcentral's name for it is "partial 16S ribosomal RNA". It matches the Rfam family "Bacterial small subunit ribosomal RNA", at positions 524 to 776 of the family's 1533-position model. The record is from RNAcentral.